GGGAUAACCUGGGGAAACUCGGGCUAAUACCGCAUGAUGGAAGACAGAAGACAGGUGAUUGUGUGACUGCGUCACAAAUUUUAAAAAUUUGUCGCGAAGUGACACAAUGAUGUGUCUUCAGUCCUCUGUCUUCUGUCUUCUGAAAGCGGGGGAUCUUCGGACCUCGCGCUAUAAGAUGAGCCUACGUCGGAUUAGCUUGUUGGUGGGGUAAUGGCUUACCAAGGCGACAAUCCGUAGCUGGUCUGAGAGGAUGGCCAGCCACACUGGGACUGAGACACGGCCCAGACUCCUACGGGAGGCAGCAGUGGGGAAUAUUGGACAAUGGGGGAAAACCCUGAUCCAGCAAUGCCGCGUGUGUGAAGAAGGCCUUCGGGUUGUAAAGCACUUUCGGUGGGGAAGAAAUUCUCAAGGGUAAUAUCCUUGGGCAUUGACGUUACCCACAGAAGAAGCACUGGCUAACUCUGUGCCAGCAGCCGCGGUAAUACAGAGAGUGCAAGCGUUAAUCGGAAUCACUGGGCGUAAAGCGCGCGUAGGUGGAUAUUUAAGUCGGAUGUGAAAGCCCUGGGCUUAACCUAGGAAUUGCACCCGAUACUGGAUAUCUUGAGUAUGGUAGAGGGAAGUGGAAUUUCCGGUGUAGCGGUGAAAUGCGUAGAUAUCGGAAAGAACACCAGUGGCGAAGGCGACUUCCUGGACCAAUACUGACACUGAGGCGCGAAAGCGUGGGGAGCAAACAGGAUUAGAGACCCUGGUAGUCCACGCCGUCAACGAUGAGAACUAGCUGUUGGGAAGUUUACUUCUUAGUAGCGAAGUUAACGCGUUAAGUUCUCCGCCUGGGGAGUACGGCCGCAAGGUUAAAACUCAAAGAAAUUGACGGGGGCCCGCACAAGCGGUGGAGCAUGUGGUUUAAUUCGAUGCAACGCGAAAAACCUUACCUACCCUUGACAUCCUCGGAACUUGUCAGAGAUGAUUUGGUGCCUUCGGGAACCGAGUGACAGGUGCUGCAUGGCUGUCGUCAGCUCGUGUCGUGAGAUGUUGGGUUAAGUCCCGUAACGAGCGCAACCCUCGUCCUUAGUUGCCAGCGAGUCAUGUCGGGAACUCUAAGGAGACUGCCGGCGAUAAACCGGAGGAAGGUGGGGAUGAUGUCAAGUCAUCAUGGCCCUUACGGGUAGGGCUACACACGUGCUACAAUGGGCAGUACAAAGGGUUGCCAAACCGCGAGGUGGAGCUAAUCCCAGAAAACUGCUCGUAGUCCGGAUUGGAGUCUGCAACUCGACUCCAUGAAGUUGGAAUCGCUAGUAAUCGCGAAUCAGCAUGUCGCGGUGAAUACGUUCUCGGGCCUUGUACACACCGCCCGUCACACCAUGGGAGUG
Molecule: ribosomal RNA, 1370 nt
Filed under: uncultured Coxiella sp.
Lineage: Bacteria; Pseudomonadati; Pseudomonadota; Gammaproteobacteria; Legionellales; Coxiellaceae
Description: bacterial SSU rRNA
Rfam family: Bacterial small subunit ribosomal RNA
Source: RNAcentral